GUAACGGCGAGUGAAGCGGUAACAGCUCAAAUUUGAAAGCUAGCUCUUUUAGGGUUCGCAUUGUAAUUUGUAGAAGAUGCUUCGGGUGUGGCCCCGGUCUAAGUUCCUUGGAACAGGACGUCAUAGAGGGUGAGAAUCCCGUAUGUGACCGGGUGCUUUCGCUCAUGUGAAGCUCUUUCGACGAGUCGAGUUGUUUGGGAAUGCAGCUCAAAAUGGGUGGUAAAUUUCAUCUAAAGCUAAAUAUUGGCCAGAGACCGAUAGCGCACAAGUAGAGUGAUCGAAAGAUGAAAAGCACUUUGGAAAGAGAGUUAAACAGUACGUGAAAUUGUUGAAAGGGAAGCGCUUGCAACCAGACUUGCGCGCUGAUGAUCAUCCGGGCUUCUGCCCGGUGCACUCGUCUGCGCUCAGGCCAGCAUCGGUUUUGGUGGUGGGAUAAAGGCCUUGGGAAUGUAGCUUCUUUCGGGGAGUGUUAUAGCCCUCGGUGCAAUGCCGCCUACCGGGACCGAGGACCGCGCUUCGGCUAGGAUGC
RNAcentral lists this ribosomal RNA (529 nucleotides) under uncultured Phialophora. Its description in RNAcentral is "eukaryotic LSU rRNA". It matches the Rfam family "Eukaryotic large subunit ribosomal RNA", at positions 83 to 626 of the family's 3401-position model. Lineage: Eukaryota; Fungi; Ascomycota; Leotiomycetes. The record is from RNAcentral.